UGGGGAAUAUUGCACAAUGGGCGCAAGCCUGAUGCAGCCAUGUCGCGUGUACGAAGAAGGCCUUCGGGAUGUAAAGUACUUUCAGUCGGGAGGAAGGUGUCAAGGUUAAUAACCUUGGCAAUUGACGUUACCGACAGAAGAAGCACCGGCUAACUCCGUGCCAGCAGCCGCGGUAAUACGGAGGGUGCAAGCGUUAAUCGGAAUUACUGGGCGUAAAGCGCACGCAGGCGGUUGAUUGAGUCAGAUGUGAAAUCCCCGGGCUUAACCCGGGAACUGCAUUCGGAACUGGCAGGCUAGAGUCUUGUAGAGGGGGGUAGAAUGCCAGGUGUAGCGGUGAAAUGCGUAGAGAUCUGGAGGAAUACCAGUGGCGAAGGCGGCCACCUGGACAAAGACUGACGCUCAGGUGCGAAAGCGGGGGGAGCAAACAGG
RNAcentral lists this ribosomal RNA (429 nucleotides) under Chloroflexota bacterium. RNAcentral describes it as "Chloroflexi bacterium partial 16S ribosomal RNA". It matches the Rfam family "Bacterial small subunit ribosomal RNA", at positions 355 to 776 of the family's 1533-position model. Lineage: Bacteria; Bacillati; Chloroflexota. The record is from RNAcentral.